CUGGGAGGACCAUCUCCUAAGGCUAAAUACUCUCUAGUGACCGAUAGUGAACCAGUACCGUGAGGGAAAGGUGAAAAGCACCCCGGAAGGGGAGUGAAAUAGAACCUGAAACCGUGUGCUUACAAGUAGUCAGAGCCCGUUAAUGGGUGAUGGCGUGCCUUUUGUAGAAUGAACCGGCGAGUUACGAUUUGAUGCAAGGUUAAGCAGUAAAUGUGGAGCCGUAGCGAAAGCGAGUCUGAAUAGGGCGUUUAGUAUUUGGUCGUAGACCCGAAACCAGGUGAUCUACCCUUGGUCAGGUUGAAGUUCAGGUAACACUGAAUGGAGGACCGAACCGACUUACGUUGAAAAGUGAGCGGAUGAACUGAGGGUAGCGGAGAAAUUCCAAUCGAACCUGGAGAUAGCUGGUUCUCUCCGAAAUAGCUUUAGGGCUAGCCUCAAGUGAUGAUUAUUGGAGGUAGAGCACUGUUUGGACGAGGGGCCCCUCUCGGGUUACCGAAUUCAGACAAACUCCGAAUGCCAAUUAAUUUAACUUGGGAGUCAGAACAUGGGUGAUAAGGUCCGUGUUCGAAAGGGAAACAGCCCAGACCACCAGCUAAGGUCCCAAAAUAUAUGUUAAGUGGAAAAGGAUGUGGCGUUGCCCAGACAACUAGGAUGUUGGCUUAGAAGCAGCCAUCAUUUAAAGAGUGCGUAAUAGCUCACUAGUCGAGUGACACUGCGCCGAAAAUGUACCGGGGCUAAACAUAUUACCGAAGCUGUGGAUUGUCCUUUGGACAAUGGUAGGAGAGCGUUCUAAGGGCGUUGAAGCAUGAUCGUAAGGACAUGUGGAGCGCUUAGAAGUGAGAAUGCCGGUGUGAGUAGCGAAAGACGGGUGAGAAUCCCGUCCACCGAUUGACUAAGGUUUCCAGAGGAAGGCUCGUCCGCUCUGGGUUAGUCGGGUCCUAAGCUGAGGCCGACAGGCGUAGGCGAUGGAUAACAGGUUGAUAUUCCUGUACCACCUAUAAUCGUUUUAAUCGAUGGGGGGACGCAGUAGGAUAGGCGAAGCGUGCGAUUGGAUUGCACGUCUAAGCAGUAAGGCUGAGUAUUAGGCAAAUCCGGUACUCGUUAAGGCUGAGCUGUGAUGGGGAGAAGACAUUGUGUCUUCGA
RNAcentral lists this ribosomal RNA (1143 nucleotides) under Staphylococcus aureus. RNAcentral's name for it is "partial 23S ribosomal RNA". It matches the Rfam family "Bacterial large subunit ribosomal RNA", at positions 444 to 1588 of the family's 2925-position model. Lineage: Bacteria; Bacillati; Bacillota; Bacilli; Caryophanales; Staphylococcaceae. The record is from RNAcentral.